UAACACAUGUAAGUCGAACGGCAGCACGGGAGCAAUCCUGGUGGCGAGUGGCGAACGGGUGAGUAAAGUAUCGGAACGUGCCCAGUCGUGGGGGAUAACGUAGCGAAAGUUACGCUAAUACCGCAUACGAUCUAUGGGUGAAAGCGGGGGAUCGCAAGACCUCGCGCGAUUGGAGCGGCCGAUAUCAGAUUAGGUAGUUGGUGGGGUAAAGGCUCACCAAGCCGACGAUCUGUAGCUGGUCUGAGAGGACGACCAGCCACACUGGGGCUGAGACACGGCCCAGACUCCUACGGGAGGCAGCAGUGGGGAAUUUUGGACAAUGGGCGAAAGCCUGAUCCAGCCAUGCCGCGUGCAGGAUGAAGGCCUUCGGGUUGUAAACUGCUUUUGUACGGAACGAAAAGGUUUGGCCUAAUAAGCUGAGCUCAUGACGGUACCGUAAGAAUAAGCACCGGCUAACUACGUGCCAGCAGCCGCGGUAAUACGUAGGGUGCGAGCGUUAAUCAGAAUUACUGGGCGUAAAGCGUGCGCAGGCGGUUAUGUAAGACAGAUGU
This 551-nucleotide ribosomal RNA is filed under the name uncultured bacterium. Its description in RNAcentral is "bacterial SSU rRNA". It matches the Rfam family "Bacterial small subunit ribosomal RNA", at positions 49 to 595 of the family's 1533-position model. The record is from RNAcentral.